UACAGAGGGUGCGAGCGUUGUCCGGAAUCACUGGGCGUAAAGGGCGCGUAGGCGGCUCAGUAAGGUUGCGGUGAAAGCCCGGGGCUCAACCCCGGGUCGGCCGUGGCAACUGCUGGGCUGGAGCACUGUAGAGGCAGGUGGAAUUCCGAGUGUAGAGGUGAAAUUCGUAGAUAUUCGGAAGAACACCAGUGGCGAAGGCGGCUCACUGGCCCGGUACUGACGCUGAGGUGCGAAAGCGUGGGGAGCAAACAG
This 252-nucleotide ribosomal RNA is filed under the name uncultured bacterium. RNAcentral's name for it is "partial 16S ribosomal RNA". It matches the Rfam family "Bacterial small subunit ribosomal RNA", at positions 524 to 775 of the family's 1533-position model. The record is from RNAcentral.